GUAUGAUAUAGCAGCUGCAAGAGCCGUUGCAGAACUGAAAGUUCUAGCGGAAUACUGCCUUCCAUUGGUUCGUGUUGGUGGUUUGUUCAUAGCUGCAAAAGGUCAUGAUCCCCACGAAGAAAUAAAAGAUGCUAAAAGUGCUGUACAGAAAUUGGGUGCUUCCAUGCUCGAAUUGUGUAAUGGUAAAAUAUUCCUAUCCUUCCUUAAUGCUUAAUUGCUUAUAGAAGGCAUUGCACUAAAUAUGUUGUAAUCUGCAUAUAAGCAAUUUUACCCUCUCUUAACCUAAAUGUAGAAGUGCGAGUUUGUUCCCUUUCUGACUAAAUGGCAUCUUUCCCUUGUAAAGUUUCUCUGGAUUAGAUAAUACUGAUGAGUAGUCAUAUUUCUAUUUUGCAUAUUUUAAUGCCUGUUGCCAUUUCAGCAAACAAUUGCUAACCUGAUUCCUUUCUAAUUCUCAUGAAUAUAGUUAUGUUGCUUCUAUGUCUUGUGCAUCCAGCCUUUCAGGUUAUGAUAAGCAUAGAAUUCUUGGUAACAUGC
This is an RNA transcript of Setaria italica (foxtail millet), 534 nucleotides long. RefSeq lists it as uncharacterized. The transcript has 3 exons. The record is from RefSeq and is a predicted model, not a curated record. Lineage: Eukaryota; Viridiplantae; Streptophyta; Magnoliopsida; Poales; Poaceae.